GACGAACGCUGGCGGCACGCCUAAUACAUGCAAGUCGAGCGAACAGAUGAAGUGCUUGCGCUUCUGACGUUAGCGGCGAACGGGUGAGUAACACGUAAGGAAUCUACCUAUAAGCGGGGGAUAACAUUCGGAAACGGGUGCUAAUACCGCAUAAUAUCUUCUUCCGCAUGGAAGAAGAUUGAAAGACGGCUCUGCUGUCACUUAUAGAUGACCUUGCGGUGCAUUAGUUAGUUGGUGGGGUAAUGGCCUACCAAGACGAUGAUGCAUAGCCGACCUGAGAGGGUGCUCGGCCACAUUGGGACUGAGACACGGCCCAAACUCCUACGGGAGGCAGCAGUAGGGAAUCUUCCGCAAUGGGCGAAAGCCUGACGGAGCAAUGCCGCGUGAGUGAAGAAGGCCUUCGGGUCGUAAAACUCUGUUAUAAGAGAAGAACAAAUUGUAGAGUAACUGCUACAGUCUUGACGGUAUCUUAUCAGAAAGCCACGGCUAACUACGUGCCAGCCGCCGCAGUAA
This 513-nucleotide ribosomal RNA is filed under the name uncultured bacterium. RNAcentral describes it as "partial 16S ribosomal RNA". It matches the Rfam family "Bacterial small subunit ribosomal RNA", at positions 28 to 523 of the family's 1533-position model. The record is from RNAcentral.